UACAGAGGUGGCAAGCGUUGUUCGGAAUUACUGGGCGUAAAGGGCGCGUAGGCGGUUUCGUAAGUCCCGUGUGAAAGCCCCCGGCUCAACUGGGGAACUGCACGGGAAACUGCGAGGCUUGAGUUCGGGAGAGGGAAGCGGAAUUCCGGGUGUAGCGGUGAAAUGCGUAGAUAUCCGGAGGAACACCGGUGGCGAAGGCGGCUUCCUGGACCGACACUGACGCUGAGGCGCGAAAGCUAGGGGAGCAAACAGG
Molecule: ribosomal RNA, 253 nt
Filed under: uncultured bacterium
Lineage: Bacteria
Description: partial 16S ribosomal RNA
Rfam family: Bacterial small subunit ribosomal RNA
Source: RNAcentral